Molecule: ribosomal RNA, 504 nt
Filed under: uncultured bacterium
Lineage: Bacteria
Description: partial 16S ribosomal RNA
Rfam family: Bacterial small subunit ribosomal RNA
Source: RNAcentral
AUUGAACGCUGGCGGCAGGCCUAACACAUGCAAGUCGAACGGUAGCACAGAGAGCUUGCUCUCGGGUGACGAGUGGCGGACGGGUGAGUAACGUCUGGGAAACUGCCCGAUGGAGGGGGAUAACUACUGGAAACGGUAGCUAAUACCGCAUAACGUCGCAAGACCAAAGUGGGGGACCUUCGGGCCUCACACCAUCGGAUGUGCCCAGAUGGGAUUAGCUAGUAGGUGGGGUAAUGGCUCACCUAGGCGACGAUCCCUAGCUGGUCUGAGAGGAUGACCAGCCAAACUGGAACUGAGACACGGUCCAGACUCCUACGGGAGGCAGCAGUGGGGAAUAUUGCACAAUGGGCGCAAGCCUGAUGCAGCCAUGCCGCGUGUAUGAAGAAGGCCUUCGGGUUGUAAAGUACUUUCAGCGGGGAGGAAGGCGGUGAAGUUAAUAGCUUCACCGAUUGACGUUACCCGCAGAAGAAGCACCGGUUAACUCCGUGCCAGCCGCCGCGGUAA